This 810-nucleotide long non-coding RNA is filed under the name Panax ginseng (ginseng). RNAcentral's name for it is "long non-coding RNA (PGIN_LNC018849)". Lineage: Eukaryota; Viridiplantae; Streptophyta; Magnoliopsida; Apiales; Araliaceae. The record is from RNAcentral.
UCACAUCUAAUGUAGCACUACUCCUCCUACUCUAUAAAUAGAUGCAAAAUAAAGAAAGGCUUGCAUUCCCAUACUUUCCCAACAUCGGUCUUUCUUUAAAGUUUUCUAUUUUACAGUUUAAUUAAGGACUAGCCAGCAAGUUUCGAAGAACAAAAAUGAAGACUAAAGUUUAUCUAUUCCUCGGUCUUCUUUUUAGUCUCCUUCUCAUCUCAUCUGUCACCGCAACGGAGACACCUCAAGAUGUGGAAAAGAGUUAGUCGACUUAAUUCUAUUCUUUUUUUAAUUUCGCUAUUCAUCCUUACAAAUAUAUAUAUAUAUAUAUAUAUAUAUAUAUGCAUGCGUGAGUAACUUCGACAGGAUAUAUCUAGAUUCCAUUAACUUAUAACCCUAUGUUAGUGUAUAAGAUUAUAUAUGUUGCAUUUAUUAUAACAAAAGUUGCAUUCGCAUGGAUAAUAUAAAAGCAUCAAAAACAACUUUUAUUAUAUUUAGCAAAUGCAACAAAUUUCUAUGCACUUGCAUGCAUAUAUAUGGUAAGUUAUAUGUCUUUGAUCAUGAAAUUUGGAUCCUUUUGAUAGAGAGGUUUUUUAGAUAAUAUCCUAUUCAUGCAUGUAGAUUAAGGGGUUUGUUUAACUUGUACACUUAUUAUGCCUUUUGAACCUUUUAAGUGUAGUAUCAUUUCUUGUAUAUAUAUAUAUUCAUGGAGAAUCAAGACCUAUCUAGGGAUUUUAAAUAUAAAAAUACACUUAUACAAUUUGUUCAUUUGCAGCGAAUGAAGCUUCUGAAGCAGAUCAUGAGGUAAAUGGUUAUNNN